UUCGCAAUGCCCGAAAGGGUGACGAAGCGACGCCGCGUGCGGGAAGAAGGCCUUCGGGUUGUAAACCGCUGUCGGGAGUUAAGAAAUGUAAGGAUGUUAAUAGCAUCUUUGCUUGACUAAGGCUCCAGAGGAAGCCACGGCUAACUCUGUGCCAGCAGCCGCGGUAAUACAGAGGCGGCAAGCGUUGUUCGGAAUUAUUGGGCGUAAAGAGCACGUAGGCGGCCUUGCAAGUCAGUUGUGAAAGCCUUCCGCUUAACGGAAGAACGGCAUCUGAUACUACAGGGCUUGAGUACGGGAGGGGAGAGUGGAACUUCUGGUGGAGCGGUGAAAUGCGUAGAUAUCAGAAGGAACGCCGGCGGCGAAAGCGACUCUCUGGUCCGAAACUGACGCUGAGUGUGCGAAAGCUAGGGGAGCAAACGGGAUUAGAUACCCCGGUAGUCCUAGCCGUAAAC
RNAcentral lists this ribosomal RNA (452 nucleotides) under uncultured bacterium. RNAcentral describes it as "bacterial SSU rRNA". It matches the Rfam family "Bacterial small subunit ribosomal RNA", at positions 365 to 807 of the family's 1533-position model. The record is from RNAcentral.